This 337-nucleotide long non-coding RNA is filed under the name Gallus gallus (chicken). Its description in RNAcentral is "long non-coding RNA NONGGAT008098". Lineage: Eukaryota; Metazoa; Chordata; Aves; Galliformes; Phasianidae. The record is from RNAcentral.
CUCCGCUAACACAGGCCUCCAACGUGCGCCAAAGGGACUGACUUACCAUUCCUUGGGCAUCUUCUGAAAUGGCUGAUGCCCCUAUAGAGAAAUACUUGCCAUGUUGUCAUGUAUGGCAACCUUUUCCCUAAGAUAAGAAAUUAAUUUGGUGUCCGUGUCUGCAGCUUUGCCUUAUCUCCCACUACCCGUUGACCAGAGUCAUUGGACACCGUAUUGCACCAUCAAGGCUGCAGAUAAGGAGCGGCAAUCUUAUGCCUGUACAUCUGUCUCCAAGACGGUGCAGUCCCCAGCACACACACACUGUGGCACUGCAUUUGGUCUUUCCUCCAUCUAACAG